CCCACCUCCAACCCGUGGUCUGGUAAGCGCCCUCACUCUCUCCCCUGUCAGCCCACACCACGAGAAACCAACCCAUCCCCCAAAACAGCCUGACCCUCCAACUGCACCACUUUUAAAUACUCCCUAAAGGUGGUGCGACACCCCAAUCCUACCAUAAACGGCAGCGGCAAACAUAGAUAGCAGCGAAGAUUCAGGAAGAUGGUCCCACAGGCUAAUUUGUAUGCGGGAACAUCAAUUGCUUCGAUUAAAAAAAAACAACCUGGUGUGCAUAUACAUGUGACAACUUAAAACACCGUGCGAGCAUUCUUAUCACUUAUUUAUACUCCCCGUGAAAAAUUAAAAUUAUCACAAGAAUGCCAUUCCUUUCACGGGGCGCUUUUAAAAUUUGAUUUCUUAAUGGUUGAUAUCGCGUAUCAAUCCAGCAGGUUCGGGAGCCUUCGGCCCCGCCUCCUCAUUUUGCUCCACCCAUCCUGUCACCGAUUGGCUGCGAUGUGAGGGAUGGGACGCACGAUUGGUGUAGUGUGGUGUCGAUCAGGAGCCGGAGCCCCACCCUCCUCUCAGACGCCGCUCUCUCUGCAGGUUUGGUUGAGCGGUGCGGAGCCGGGCUGUCAGCGCGUUCGAGACUCUGGGCCGUGCAUUUGCAGUAGCAGCAACGGCAGCAGCGCGAGUGACACAACAGCGCGAGAACCCAACGGUCGGAUUAACGAACCGGGCGGGCGCUGAGGUAAAACAAUCAUCAGGGAAUUUUAAAGAAAACCUCUAAAACUGAGGGGAGAGAGAGAGAUAUAUAAAAGCAACUGUUUUUGAAUAAAUUGUUCGAGAUACAUGUUCGGCGUCAAAAUUGAAAUACAUGAUCAUAAAUAUUGAGAGGUGAAAAUACAUUCCCCUCGCCUCAGCCCCCAUCAUCAUCACCACCUCUGGAUAUCGGCAGCUUCGUUGAUGUGAGGAGGGAAAAAAAAAGAGGAAAGUAAAACGAGAAAGAAAUACAAAUAAAAGGAGAGGAAUCAUGCUCACCAAACAGAAUAUGUCCCUUUUCUGCUUGUACAGCUUCUGUGGAUUUCUUCUUCAACUCCAAGUGUUUGCAACCAAGACCAAA
Chiloscyllium plagiosum (whitespotted bambooshark) is the source of this 1096-nucleotide non-coding RNA. NCBI's taxonomy places the organism in Eukaryota, Metazoa, Chordata, Chondrichthyes, Orectolobiformes, Hemiscylliidae. The record is from RefSeq and is a predicted model, not a curated record.